AUGAUAUCCAAGGGACAGUUGAAAAAGACCAAAACUGUAGGAUUUAGAUCAAGGCUUUAUGUCAAGUCCUUGUAUCAAAGGGGGCUGGGGUGGCGGGCGGCCUUGCCAGGGUCCUCGCAGGUCCUCGGCGGGCCCGGGGGAGGGCCCUCUUUUGUGGCUGCAGUUGGCAAAAAGGCACCGAUGAGGGUGGAGAAGAAGCUGCUGCUGGGCCCCAACGGGUCUGCAGUGGAGGCCGCCAGUGACCUGACCAGUGAGGAGGAGGAGGGCCAGAGCCUAUGGUCCUCAAUCCUGAGCGAAGUGUGUCCACCCGCGCCAGGUCCAAGCUGCCGUCUGGCAAGGACAUCCUGGUCUUCGGUGAAGAUGGUUCUGGUAAAACAACCCUCAUGACUAAACUACAAGGAGCUGAGCAUAGCAAAAAAGGAAGAGGCCUAGAGUAUCUCUACCUCAGCAUCCAUGACGAAGACCGAGAUGAUCACACGUUGCAAUGUGUGGAUUCUGGAUGGAGACCUUUACCACAAAGGCCUGCUGACGUUUGCAGUUUCUGCUGAUUCCUUUCCAAAAACCUGGUCAUGUUCGUUGCAGACACGUCUAGGCCUUGGACUGUGAUGGAAUCUCUACAGAAAUGGGCUAGUGUUUUACGUGAGCAUAUUGAUAAAAUGAAAACUCCACCAGAGGAAAUGAGAGAGUUGGAACUGAAGUUUAUGAAAGAUUUUCAAGAUUAUAUUGAACCUGAAGAAGGUUGUCAAGGUUCCCCAUAGAGAAGAGGUCCUCUGACCUCAGGCUCCGAUGAAGAAAAUGUUGCUCUGCCUCUGGGUGACAGAGUGCUGACUCAUAACCUGGGGAUCCCAGUGUUGGUGGUGUGUACAAAGUGUGAUGCCGUGCGUGUCCUGGAGAAGGAGCACGAUUACAGGGAUGAGCACUUGAACUUCAUCCAGUCACAUCUGCAGAGGUUCUGCCUCCAGGAUAGAGCUGCCUUGAUUUAUACAUCAGUGAAAGAAGAGAAAAACCUCGACUUGUUAUGUAGGUAUGUUGUUCAUAAAACAUAUGGUUUCCACUUUAACACACCUGCCUUAGUUGUGGGAAAGGAUGCAGUUUUUAUACCUGCAGGCUGGGACAAUGAAAAGAAAAUAGCUAUUUUACAUGAAAAUUUCACAACUGUAAAGCCAGAAGAUGCAUAUGAAGAUUUUAUUGUGAAACCUCCAGUGAGUAAGCUGGUCCACGACAAAGAGUUGGCAGCAGAGGAUGAGCAGGUGUUCCAAAUGAAGCAACAGUCACUCCUUGCCAAGCAGCCAGCCACUCCUACGAGAGCCUCUGAAUCCCCUGCAAGAGGAUCCUCUGGCUCUCCAAGGACCCAGGGUCGAGGCGGGCCAACCCGUGUGCCUAGUGCCUCCCCAGGCACGUCAGUAAAGAAGCCGGACCCAAACAUCAAAAAUAAUGCAGCAAGUGAAGGGGUGUGGGCCAACUUCUUCAACAGUCUGUUGAGUGAAAAAACAGGCUCUCCUGGAAGUCCUGGUGCUGGUGGCGUGCUGAGUACAGCCAAGAAGUCAGGACAAAAGACUGUGUUGUCAAAUGUUCAGGAAGAACUGGAUAGAAUGACUCGAAAACCAGACUCCAUGGCUGGCCUACUAAUAGAAAAUGGGUGA
Molecule: RNA transcript, 1643 nt
Organism: Carlito syrichta (Philippine tarsier)
Lineage: Eukaryota; Metazoa; Chordata; Mammalia; Primates; Tarsiidae
Gene name: cytoplasmic dynein 1 light intermediate chain 2-like
Exons: 3
Source: RefSeq, a predicted model, not a curated record